AACACAUGCAAGGUCGAGGGGCGAGCAUGGGAGAAGCUUGCUUUCCCGAUGGCGACCGGCGAAUGGGUGGAGUCACGCGUGUCCAACCUGCCUCCCGGCCCGGGGGACUAGCCCUUGGAAAUGAGGAUUAAGACCCGAUAGGUGGAGCUUCCGCAUGGCGGCUCCAUGAAACGAGACCGGAGAUGGGGACGCGUCGGAUUAGCUUGACGGCGGGGCGACGGCCCACCGUGGCGACGAUCCACAGGGGUUCUGAGAGGAAGGUCCCCCACACUGGCACUGAGACACGGGCCAGACUCCUACGGGAGGCAGCAGUGAGGAAUAUUGGUCAAUGGGCGAGAGCCUGAACCAGCCAAGUAGCGUGCAGGAUGACGGCCCUACGGGUUGUAAACUGCUUUUGCGGGAGGAUAAAGGACACUACGUGUAGUGUUUUGCAGGUAUCCCGUGAAUAAGGACCGGCUAAUUCCGUGCCAGCAGCUGC
Molecule: ribosomal RNA, 478 nt
Filed under: uncultured bacterium
Lineage: Bacteria
Description: bacterial SSU rRNA
Rfam family: Bacterial small subunit ribosomal RNA
Source: RNAcentral